GCAUAUAAGUAAGUGGUGGAAAUUAAACCAACUGGGAUCUCUUCAGUAAUUGCGCAUGAACCAGGAUAUGCUUAGCUUGACAAAUGGAGCUGCUGGCUCUGAAUUGUAUUGUGGGAAUGUAUUACCAACAGAGGUGCAGGUGUCAGCCAUUUGAAAGAAAGCAUCAAUGAGGGUGAGAGUCCUGUUUGUCAUGUGCAGCCUUCUGUGCACGGUGUAUAUUUGCUGAGUCACACUCCUUGGCAUUGGAAUGCAAAGUGGGUGGUAAGUUUCAUGCAAAGGUAAAUAUGCAAUUGAGACUGAUAGCGCACAAGUACCAUGAGGGACAUAUGAAAAGGACUUUGAACAGAGAAUUAAAUGAGUUUGUAUUUGCUAAACACAAAGUAAACAGACUUGAUUUCCUCAGUGAGAUUGUAGUGCUUGCUUAACAAUGGGUUUUGGCUGCAAGUGCAAUAAUUCUUGCUUUGUGUGCCAGUUUUUAUGUGGACAUUUGAUUACCUUUGCACAUGAAUGGUAAUUUUCCUGCGGGGUGUGGAUUGCAUAUGCAUGUAAUGAUUUGCAUGUUUGUUAAAUGUGUCUGGUGUAUUUGUUUGUGUCCUUGUCCUUGAGGUUGCUUUCUCCCUUGGGCUUACAUGCCCUGGCACACACAUUCUGGCAA
RNAcentral lists this ribosomal RNA (655 nucleotides) under Alexandrium tamarense. Its description in RNAcentral is "eukaryotic LSU rRNA". It matches the Rfam family "Eukaryotic large subunit ribosomal RNA", at positions 38 to 624 of the family's 3401-position model. Lineage: Eukaryota; Dinophyceae; Gonyaulacales; Pyrocystaceae. The record is from RNAcentral.